UAGGGAAUCUUCCGCAAUGGACGCAAGUCUGACGGAGCAACGCCGCGUGAGUGAAGAAGGAUUUCGGUUCGUAAAACUCUGUUAUUAGGGAAGAACAAAUGUGUAAGUAACUAUGCACGUCUUGACGGUACCUAAUCAGAAAGCCACGGCUAACUACGUGCCAGCAGCCGCGGUAAUACGUAGGUGGCAAGCGUUAUCCGGAAUUAUUGGGCGUAAAGCGCGCGUAGGCGGUUUUUUAAGUCUGAUGUGAAAGCCCACGGCUCAACCGUGGAGGGUCAUUGGAAACUGGAAAACUUGAGUGCAGAAGAGGAAAGUGGAAUUCCAUGUGUAGCGGUGAAAUGCGCAGAGAUAUGGAGGAACACCAGUGGCGAAGGCGACUUUCUGGUCUGUAACUGACGCUGAUGUGCGAAAGCGUGGGAAUCAAACAGG
RNAcentral lists this ribosomal RNA (429 nucleotides) under Bacteroidota bacterium. RNAcentral describes it as "Bacteroidetes bacterium partial 16S ribosomal RNA". It matches the Rfam family "Bacterial small subunit ribosomal RNA", at positions 355 to 776 of the family's 1533-position model. The record is from RNAcentral. Lineage: Bacteria; Pseudomonadati; Bacteroidota.